GUGGGGAAUAUUGCACAAUGGGCGAAAGCCUGAUGCAGCAACGCCGCGUGAGGGACGACGGCCUUCGGGUUGUAAACCUCUUUUAGUAGGGAAGAAGCGAAAGUGACGGUACCUGCAGAAAAAGCACCGGCUAACUACGUGCCAGCAGCCGCGGUAAUACGUAGGGUGCAAGCGUUAUCCGGAAUUAUUGGGCGUAAAGAGCUCGUAGGCGGUCUGUCGCGUCUGCUGUGAAAACUGGAGGCUCAACCUCCAGCCUGCAGUGGGUACGGGCAGACUAGAGUGCGGUAGGGGAGAUUGGAAUUCCUGGUGUAGCGGUGGAAUGCGCAGAUAUCAGGAGGAACACCGAUGGCGAAGGCAGAUCUCUGGGCCGUAACUGACGCUGAGGAGCGAAAGCGUGGGGAGCGAUCAGGAUUAGAAACCCGAGUAGUCC
Molecule: ribosomal RNA, 430 nt
Filed under: uncultured bacterium
Lineage: Bacteria
Description: bacterial SSU rRNA
Rfam family: Bacterial small subunit ribosomal RNA
Source: RNAcentral